Bactrocera dorsalis (oriental fruit fly) is the source of this 672-nucleotide long non-coding RNA. RefSeq lists it as uncharacterized. The record is from RefSeq and is a predicted model, not a curated record. NCBI's taxonomy places the organism in Eukaryota, Metazoa, Arthropoda, Insecta, Diptera, Tephritidae. The transcript is spliced from 2 exons.
AAAUCAUUGUUUAAUAGCAAGGGACGUGUUUACAACUAAAAUUUACCAUCAGUUAUAAAUCGAGAUAUCAAAUUUAUUUCCGUAAUUUUGUAGCUACACACAUGGAAUAUGUGUGUAGAUUCAGACACAAGCGGCUUUUUCGUACAUCUGUAACUACGCAGACCAAACUCCAAGGCCCGUCUUUUGAUAGUGGAGAGACUGAUGUCGAGUUAAACUUCGGAUUUAGCUUCUCUUGGAUUUGGUGUAUUUGUAAAGAAAUUUUUUAUUUGCCGGUCUUCUCUUACGGUUGUAGCACGAGGCCUACCUCCUCUGUGAACUGUGGGGAUAUUCUCAGUCCGAAUAAUACGGCAAAUCGUUGAUUUAUGUAUGGAAUAUUUUAACGAUAUUUCUUUUUGCGAAAGUCCAUUUCUAAAAUCUUCUUUUACUUUUGCUUUAAAGUCCGAACUAUAUUUAUUGCCUCCCAUUUUCAACCGAAAAUAUUACAAAGAUCACAAAACACGGAAAAAUUUGUUAAUUCUAGAAACGCGAAAGACUGAAUGCAAACUCUUAGUAAAAUAAAAACGCAUGAAAUUCCACUAAUUAUGUGGAAUGCGAUUACCGUUAUAACUUGUUUUUUGUUAAGUAGCAAAAUAAAAUAAAAAUACAGCAAAUAUCAGUUGCAAAUGUUUUGAA